GUCCUGAUAGCUUAACAUCAAAGCAUUGGUCUUGUAAACCAAAGAUUGUAGAAUAAUAUCUACUCAGAACU
Molecule: transfer RNA, 71 nt
Filed under: Zhangixalus omeimontis (Omei tree frog)
Lineage: Eukaryota; Metazoa; Chordata; Amphibia; Anura; Rhacophoridae
Description: tRNA-Thr
Rfam family: tRNA
About the family: Transfer RNA (tRNA) molecules are approximately 80 nucleotides in length. Their secondary structure includes four short double-helical elements and three loops (D, anti-codon, and T loops).
Source: RNAcentral